CCAUUAAGUACUGGAUAAAGUGAACUCUGAGUCCUCAAAAUAGAGGUAACAAAUAUUUUUUUACUAACUUGUAAUAUUUCAGAUAUUUCCUGAAUGAAUAACCUAAAAAUGAAAAACAUUGUCUCUCAGUAACAUUAAUGCCUGAGAUCACUGGUGCUCGUCCAGUCCUCGAGGGCUAUCAUCCUGCUACCUUUAGAUGCAUCCCUUCCUCAACAAGCCUGAUGAGGGAAUUCAGCCACAAUGCAUACAUGUGAAGUAAAAGGAAAAUGAUACAUGGUUUUUAAAUUGUGCGGUUGGCAUUUUUAUCCAGUCCCUUUUACUCUGAUACCCCAAAAUAAAUAAUUCCCAGUCCAACUCACUGCUUUAAGAAGUUGCCUAAUUAUUAAAUAGAGUCCACCUGUGUUUAAUCAAGCCAUCAGCAGUUUGUCAUAGGUUAUUGGUGAACAGUGUGUACACAGUAAAAUCCUCAGUGUCAAAUAAGCAGUGUCAGAGCAUGUUAACUACAUAAGAGUCAAUUCAACAACAGUGAGUGUAAAAUGUCUCCUUAUGUUCUGCAGUGUUGGUGUAAAUAUUCAGAGUUAAAAUAGGUUUUGUAAAAAUAACUCUUUACAUUGUAAUUUAUCAAGUGUCAAAGAAAAUGCACUCUGUCGGAGUUAAUACAACACCAUAAUUCAGUGUUAAUGGAAAUUCUUCAAACUGAGUGUUAAAAAGUACUCCGAAAAGCUUCGUGCCAGACUGACCAGAAUUUUCUCAGUGCCAUUUUCAACUUCUCCACCUUGCUGAAAAGUGUUGAAACAAGUUCCUUCUGAACACCAUGUUAUUUUAUUAUGUUGCUUUAACGGAACAGAAGUAUGUGAAGAUCAGUGAACCAAGCCUGGAAGAUUUCUUGAAUGCUGCUUUCAUGAAGUUCUCCAUUCCACUUGUCGUUGAGGGCAUCACAGUGUUUGAUGACACAGGAACUGAGGUGGAUGCAGAAAUAUUUGAGGAACCAGUACUGGCAUAUUGACCAUCACAUUUGGCAAUGGGGUCAACACCAACUCACCGGACUCUGGAAACAUCAUUUUCUUCCACCUCAGUGUAUCAAACUGCAACACAUUCAGCACCAGAAUUUUCACGUUGUGACUCUGAUGAUACAGUCAUCCUUUAUCUUGCACCUUGCAGCUCUGUUAAUCCCAUUCACAAUGAGAAUGACAGUCCUCCCAGUAAACAGCAGAAAAUAAAAUGGAUGGAUACAACUUCAAAAGAGGUCUCUUUUUUUCUGCCAUGAUGAUAAAAUGGUGAAAAAUAAUAUAAUUUCGUGUCAUCCUUAAUAUGUCUGUCAAUAGUUGGUUGAAUCAGCACUGAUCAAGAAACCAGGUCAUAUGGAGCACAAGAUUCCUCUCUUUUCAUUGUUCCAUAUUGUCAUUUAAUGCAGCCUUGAUCAGUCAUUUUAGUAAUUUAGUCAUUAGAUUUAAAGAUUUUAAUUACUGUUGUCAAAAUUGAAGAUGGAGUUUUUCAAAUGUAACAUGGCAACAACCUAAGAGGCAAUAUAGGUCACAGCAAGAUAACCAAUUAAUGUACCUACUUUACAUUAAUUUUAUUUUUAAAACCUUGCGAUCUUUGAAAUUUUAUUUGGUGUUAGUCACUUUUUGUGGUUAUCUUCUCAAGAUGAUCUUGCACCUUAAUGUAUUUCACUUCUGAAAGUUAGAUUUGUAAAAUGUGUUAAUUCCAAAAGAUUGGUGGUUGCAUUUGAUUAUUGAAUGUUUGACUUCAAAGGACUAUCUGUUAUCUGAAAGAAUACAAGAAUUGCAUACUUUGUUAAAAAUGCAACCAAUGUUGUCAAGUUCUUCAAAGUAAUAAAGUUGUAUAGCUAAAAAUG
Girardinichthys multiradiatus is the source of this 1858-nucleotide long non-coding RNA. RefSeq lists it as uncharacterized. The transcript is spliced from 4 exons. The record is from RefSeq and is a predicted model, not a curated record. Lineage: Eukaryota; Metazoa; Chordata; Actinopteri; Cyprinodontiformes; Goodeidae.